This 327-nucleotide ribosomal RNA is filed under the name uncultured eukaryote. RNAcentral describes it as "partial 18S ribosomal RNA". It matches the Rfam family "Eukaryotic small subunit ribosomal RNA", at positions 1470 to 1796 of the family's 1831-position model. The record is from RNAcentral.
CCCUUAGAUGUUCUGGGCCGCACACGCGCUACACUGAAGGAGGCAGCGUGUACUCCUGGAUCGAAAGAUUUGGGUAACCCGCGAAUCUCCUUCGUGCUAGGGAUUGAGGUUUGCAAUUAUCCUUCAUGAACGGGGAAUUCCCAGUAAGUGCAAGUCAUAAGCUUGCGCUGACUACGUCCCUGCCCUUUGUACACACCGCCCGUCGCUACUACCGAUUGAAUGAUUUAGUGAGGACUUCGGACUGGGACCGAUGCGGCUUUCGGGCUGCGUCGGUAUUCUGGAAAGAUGUCCAAACUGUAUCAUUUAGAGGAAGUAAAAGUCGUANCA